GGGAAGAAGGUGGAAACCACCAAAGAUUCGGAGUAGUAGCCGGAGGAAACGUGUUGGUGGCCGGAAAAUUUGCAUCGAUGGAGGAUUGCAGACUAUAGAUGGAGGUAUGGAUCUCUUCAAUGGUAGCUAGUAUUUUAGAUCUUGACAUUUUUUUUUUUUGAUAAUCAAAGAGAGAUGAUCUCUCAAUGAAAGCACCAAUUGAUACGAUCUGUAUCAAUGGUGGAGCAAUUCGAGUAGCUCAAACUCCAGAAAUCAAGAGAGAAGAGAGAGAUUUGAUAAACAUCAAUCAAAAUAUUCAUUCCAUAAUGAGUAACUUAGAGAUUACAAU
This 328-nucleotide long non-coding RNA is filed under the name Salvia miltiorrhiza (redroot sage). RNAcentral describes it as "long non-coding RNA (SMIL_LNC000871)". The record is from RNAcentral. Lineage: Eukaryota; Viridiplantae; Streptophyta; Magnoliopsida; Lamiales; Lamiaceae.